Molecule: RNA transcript, 4338 nt
Organism: Microplitis demolitor
Lineage: Eukaryota; Metazoa; Arthropoda; Insecta; Hymenoptera; Braconidae
Exons: 6
Source: RefSeq, a predicted model, not a curated record
UUAGUACUCACAUUAGAAAAUAACUAAACACUGAGCGCCCAUAACAAUUGAUACUUUUAAAACAAAAUAAAAAUUAAAUAAAAAAUAUAUAAUUAAUCAUGUUUUUGAAACUUACGCUUAUAACAUUACUUACUGCAAUAAUCAUUGCAACAAAAAGUGAUCCAAAGGCUGCAAAAUGCUUACGUCCUGGUCAAACAUGUUCGAGUAAUGAUCAAUGUUGUUCAAAUAAAUGUGAUGGCAUAUGCAUGCAAGUAGUUAAAAGUUUGCCUGAUUAUUUAAUGCUAAUGCGCAGUGUAAUUCCUGGGUUUUGUCUUUCAACAGGCGCUCAAUGCAAUAUCAACAACAAUUGCUGUUCUAGCAAAUGUGUUCGUGCUGAAAGGGAAACUUAUUAUACUUGCAUUGAUAACGUAUCUACUUCAACUGCUAAUAACACUAAUAAUAAUAAUGAUGAGACGACAAUCGAAAAAAUUGAAACUGAAACUUGCCGAGCAAAUGGAUUACAAUGCAUUGAAGUAGAACACUGUUGCUCUAAAUUCUGUGUAGCGAGAUACUUAGUUGGAGUGGUAUAUAUGUUUUGUGCACCAUUACCAAAUCCAUCAGCUGCUAGUCAAACACAAAAAAUUACUGAUGUCACACCAUCGCUAGAAAUGGCUGUUACAGGUCCAAGAUGUUCUGUUUAUGAAGAAAACACACUGAUAAAAUGAGAUUGACUCCUGUAGUUUAUUGCCUGCAUCGAUGAAUUCAAUUUAAAUAUUUUUGCUGUGAUAGUGUAUUAUGAUUAAAAAUAUUCUAAUAUCGUAUGUGUUAUAAAGAUGAAGAUUGUUGUUCCCGUGCUUGUUUUACUUAUUUCGGUCAUUUGAGAAAAGUUUGUUUUUGAAAAGAUCUUUAAUUAAAAAAUAAUUCAAAUAAACCAUAACUUGAUCAUAAGGGUUGACCUACCAAACAAAAUUUUAUAAAAAUAAUAUUAUUUUUCGUAUUUUAUCUUUAAUAUGCUUGUAACAUAUCCAUUUUGCCUGACUUUCAUUUAAAGUAUUCAAACUUGACUCAGGCAUUCAAACUAGGUGCAAUAGAAAAUUUAUCAAUAUAAAUUUAGAAAGUUCCAAAUUUCUUUAUAUAUAUAUAUAUAUAUAUAUAUAUAUAUAUAUAUAUAUAUAUAUAUUAGGGUGGGUAAAAAAAAUCAACAAUUUGGUUUUUUACAAAUGCGAUCGAAAAAUGGGUUGCUAGACACCUUAAAAAAAUUCUCACUAAAUAUGAGCUCUUAAUUUUAAUAGGAAGAUCCUCCGCAUCGCAGUUUUCUAUUUUUUUCUCAAUCCAAUAGAAAAAAAUACAUACCUCAUCAUUAAUGGAUUGUACAAAAAAAUGUUCGAGAAGAAUUUUGUAGGAAAUUGUAUGCUCCACAAAAAAGGUAUCCUAUAUUUUUUCCGUAAACCUCACCAUUCCAAUGAUAUUGACGAUUAAAGUUUAAUCAUUUUAAGACAAAUUUCAUUAUUGUUUAUGAAUUUUAUAACUCAACAAUAACUGACUAUUAUAAAAUGCGCAAUACUAAUUUUUGUAGGUAAUUAACUGCUCUUAAAACAAUAAAUUGUGCAUUAUUAAUGGCUUAAUUAAUUAUUUGUUGAUAAAAAAAGCAAAGUUUUCGUCACAAAUAUAUUAUGAUAUAUUUCAGUUUUGGAGAAAAAAAAUGUCCAAUUAAUUAUAGAACAGUUUUUUAUUUCAAUUUUAAACUGAGUUAUUAAUUUUCAUCAAUUUUUUAUUAUAAGUGGGGUAAUUUUUUCGAUGCUCUUUAACAACUUGCAAUAAGAUAUGAAAUACAAAACAAAAAUUUUCUACAGAAGAAAUUUUUCCUAGGACAAUAUCUAGCUAUAGUGGAAAAAUUUUGAAAGCCGUUUUGAAGACAAUAUCGAAAAAAAAACAACAACAUAAUCGUGAUUUCUCAUAAUUAAAAAUAAAAUGUUUAGAAUUAUUGAAAAAAUAAUUUGCAAAAAUUUUGAAAAUAAAAGUUUAAUAAUACUUAUAUUAAUGACAACAAAUGAAAUUCAUGAAUUGAAUUAAAAUUUUUCUGUAUCUCAUCAAAAGCUCUUAAAAUUAGUACACAUUGAAGUUUGAUGAUGAAUAUCUUUUGAACGCUUAAUUUAAUCGUCAAAACAUAAGACACCAUUUUUAUAGAGCAGUUAAUUUCCUACAAAAAUUAGUAUUGAGCAUUUUAUAAUAGUCAGUUAUUGUCGAGUUAUAAAAUUCAUAAACAAUAAUGAAAUUUGUCUUAAAAUGAUUAAACUUUAAUCGUCAAUAUCAUUGGAAUGGUGAGGUUUACGGAAAAAAUAUAGGAUACCUUUUUUGUAGAGCAUACAAUUUCCUACAAAAUUCUUCUCGAACAUUUUUUUAAACAAUCCAUUAAUGAUGAGGUAUGUAUUUUUUUCUAUUGGAUUGAGAAAAAAAUAGAAAACUGCAAUGCAGAGGAUCUUCCUAUUAAAAUUAAGAGCUCAUAUUUAGUGAGAAUUUUUUUAAGGUAUCUAGCAACCCAUUUUUCGAUCGCAUUUGUAAAAAAACAAAUUGUUGAUUUUUUUUACCGACCCUAUAUAUAUAGAUAUAUAUAUAUAUAUAUAUAUAUAUAUAUAUAUAUAUAUAUAUAUAUAUAUAUAUAUAUAUAUAUAUAUAUAUAUAUAAUGUACUAUAUAGUGUAUAUACAUUAUGUAUACAUAUAUGUACUACACAACAUACACGAAAAAACGAAAACAGACUUGAAUUGGAAUGUCUGUCAAUAAAGAGUCGUCGAAUUUAUUAUACCUCUUGCUAUUUUUACAAACUAUUAGAAAUUGGUAAACCCUAUUAUUUACGUGAAUUAUUCUAAGAAGACCCUUCUGUAAGACACUCUGAGAGACUAGCAGCCAAGAAAAAUAAUAUUCUCUUUGCUGCCGAAUUUCAGUACAACUCGAUAUGAAUCUUUCUUCGUCGUUACAGUGAUACGACUUUGGGAAGAAUUACCAGAGGAUAUUUUUUAUUCGUCAACCUUAGAAGUUUUUAAAAAUAAGAUGUUUGAUUAUUUAUUUAAUCUCAAUGUUUAAAUCCUUAGCUUAUAGUGAAUUUUUUUAAUUUUAUUGUUAGUCUUUACAUUUUUAGCGAACUUUCUUAACUUAGAACUUACUCGAUUUAGAUUUACGUUAUUCUUAACGACUCUUAAAUUUUUGUUAGUUAAUUCUUCAUCAAUUUGAAUUUUCGUAUUCAUCUAUAGUUUUGUAUCAUGAAAAAGUUUAUCUAUCUUUAUAUAAUAUUUAUAUACAAAAUACCUAAAGUGUAAGAAGUUUAUAUUGCACAGUAAUGUGGAAUUCUUUGUAUAUUUUUUCUUUUGCCAUUCGGCGUUAGCCUUCGCAUAAAUGUUAAAAACUAAACUAAACUAAUUCUAAAAAGAUGAUUUGAUCCUCUUUACCCUCGUGUAGGAUUUAGAGGCUCACAUCAUCUUUUUAAUUUUGACGCGGGUAUUUUUAACACCGCUCUUUUUACGGUGUGAAUAUUUUAAUAAUCUGAAAUAACAAUGACUGUAAACGAAAAUUUUUUCUGGUUUAAUUUUAAAUUAAUUAAAUUUUCAAUAAUGAAAUAAAAAUAAAAACAACAAAAGAAAUAAGUUUCUACAAUAGUUGGCAAAGCGAACGAAUGAUAAGUUAAAAAUCCACAAUAGCUAUGAUCGACAAUUAAUAUCUUUAGAAAAGUAAAUAGAUAAAUGUGAAUUUGUUGUUAAAACAAAUGAAAUGAGUUGAGUGAAAAAUUGUUUAUAUUUGUAUAGAAUGGUUUAAUUAAUAGAAUCAUAUCGUCGUUUAAUAAUCAUUGAAUAAUAACUUGUACGUAAGAAUCCAAAGAGCUAUAAUUUGAAAAUGUAGCUGACCGUUACGAAGAAAAAACUAUGAAGCCAACAGCUUACACUGCAUGUAUAAAAUAAAGGAGCAAGCUUAGAAUUCUCAGCAAUUCAAACAUAGUAUUAAAGAUAACCGCUUGUAUAUAGGGAUAAUAACAAUGGAAGCUAUAGUAAAUAUUUCUAAAAAUUUCCAUUCAAUAAUUAUUAAUAGUAAACUUAAAAGUAAAUGAUGAAAAUCAAAAAUAUUUCGUUUUUAUAAAUCCUGAAUAUCUAAGUUAUGUUGACCAAUAUGUACUGAAUUAACGUAAGGCAACCGUUACCUGUUGUUAAACGUCAUUUCUAGCCCGGCAGAUGAUUCAACUAUUUUUUAUUAUAUUUUACUUAUUAAUUAAUCUAAAUAAAUUAAUUAGCCAUAACCUAAUAAUUUAUUAGUUUUAUUGUACAUUGUUUGAAAUUUAUAUUCAAUAAAAUAAUAUACAAUUUUAUAAGAA